CUUGGUCAUUUAGAGGAAGUAAAAGUCGUAACAAGGUUUCCGUAGGUGAACCUGCGGAAGGAUCAUUACCGAGUGAGGGCCCUCUGGGUCCAACCUCCCACCCGUGUUUAUUUUACCUUGUUGCUUCGGCGGGCCCGCCUUUACUGGCCGCCGGGGGGCUCACGCCCCCGGGCCCGCGCCCGCCGAAGACACCCUCGAACUCUGUCUGAAGAUUGAAGUCUGAGUGAAAAUAUAAAUUAUUUAAAACUUUCAACAACGGAUCUCUUGGUUCCGGCAUCGAUGAAGAACGCAGCGAAAUGCGAUACGUAAUGUGAAUUGCAAAUUCAGUGAAUCAUCGAGUCUUUGAACGCACAUUGCGCCCCCUGGUAUUCCGGGGGGCAUGCCUGUCCGAGCGUCAUUGCUGCCCUCAAGCCCGGCUUGUGUGUUGGGCCCCGUCCUCCGAUUCCGGGGGACGGGCCCGAAAGGCAGCGGCGGCACCGCGUCCGGUCCUCGAGCGUAUGGGGCUUUGUCACCCGCUCUGUAGGCCCGGCCGGCGCUUGCCGAUCAACCCAAAUUUUUAUCCAGGUUGACCUCGGAUCAGGUAGGGAUACCCGCUGAACUUAAGCAUAUCAAUAAGCGGAGGA
RNAcentral lists this ribosomal RNA (623 nucleotides) under Penicillium sp. FM-H4. RNAcentral's name for it is "eukaryotic LSU rRNA". The stretch from base 245 to 397 matches the Rfam family "5.8S ribosomal RNA". The record is from RNAcentral. Lineage: Eukaryota; Fungi; Ascomycota; Eurotiomycetes; Eurotiales; Aspergillaceae.